Molecule: ribosomal RNA, 479 nt
Filed under: uncultured bacterium
Lineage: Bacteria
Description: bacterial SSU rRNA
Rfam family: Bacterial small subunit ribosomal RNA
Source: RNAcentral
GAGAACGCUGGCGGCGUGCUUAACACAUGCAAGUCGAACGAGAAUCACUGGAAAGAUUUCUUCGGAAUGAAUUUGAUUAGUUUAGUGGCGGACGGGUGAGUAACGCGUGAGUAACCUGCCUUCAANAGGGGGAUAACAUUCUGAAAAGAAUGCUAAUACCGCAUGAUAUAUCGGAAUCACAUGAUUCUGAUAUCAAAGAUUUUAUCGCUUGGAGAUGGACUCGCGUCCGAUUAGUUAGUUGGUGAGGUAACGGCCCACCAAGGCAACGAUCGGUAGCCGGACUGAGAGGUUGAACGGCCACAUUGGGACUGAGACACGGCCCAGACUCCUACGGGAGGCAGCAGUGGGGAAUAUUGCACAAUGGGGGAAACCCUGAUGCAGCGACGCCGCGUGGAGGAAGAAGGUCUUCGGAUUGUAAACUCCUGUUGUUGAGGAAGAUAAUGACGGUACUCAACAAGGAAGUGACGGCUAACUACGUG